This 237-nucleotide long non-coding RNA is filed under the name Elaeis guineensis (African oil palm). RNAcentral's name for it is "long non-coding RNA (EGUI_LNC042923)". Lineage: Eukaryota; Viridiplantae; Streptophyta; Magnoliopsida; Arecales; Arecaceae. The record is from RNAcentral.
UAUGAGAGAAAAUUAAAGGUAGGUGCCUUCUCCCUUAUAUCUUCUUUCUUACAACAACCAAGAGUUGGUUGUUAGAAAAUUCUCCUCUCUCCUUGUCCAAGAGUUAGACAUGUCUUCCUCUCCCUCUCUCCCCUAACAUGUCCAAGAGUUGGACAUAAUAAAAUCAGAUUUAAUCUGAUUUUUAUUCUUGGUCCAUAAGAUGGACGGUUCUCCUCUUCUUCUCCACAGAUCUAGUCC